GGACCCGUGAGGUAGUCAGGAUAUCCCUCCGGCCUUCGGAGCCGGCGACCCGGGUUCGAAUCCCGGCGGGUCCG
RNAcentral lists this transfer RNA (74 nucleotides) under Thermoplasmata archaeon. RNAcentral's name for it is "tRNA-Arg". It matches the Rfam family "tRNA". From Rfam's summary of the family: Transfer RNA (tRNA) molecules are approximately 80 nucleotides in length. Their secondary structure includes four short double-helical elements and three loops (D, anti-codon, and T loops). Further hydrogen bonds mediate the characteristic L-shaped molecular structure. tRNAs have two regions of fundamental functional importance: the anti-codon, which is responsible for specific mRNA codon recognition, and the 3' end, to which the tRNAs corresponding amino acid is attached (by aminoacyl-tRNA synthetases). tRNAs cope with the degeneracy of the genetic code in two manners: having more than one tRNA (with a specific anti-codon) for a particular amino acid; and 'wobble' base-pairing, i.e. permitting non-standard base-pairing at the 3rd anti-codon position. The record is from RNAcentral. Lineage: Archaea; Methanobacteriati; Thermoplasmatota; Thermoplasmata.